GACGAACGCUGGCGGCGUGCUUAACACAUGCAAGUCGAGCGGUAAGGCCCUUUCGGGGGUACGACGAGCGGCGAACGGGUGAGUAACACGUGGGUGACCUGCCCUCAGCUCUGGGAUAAGCCUGGGAAACUGGGUCUAAUACUGGAUAUGACUCCACGGUGCAUGUCGGUGGGGUGGAAAGCCUUGUGCGGCUGAGGAUGGGCCCGCGGCCUAUCAGCUUGUUGGUGGGGUGANGGCCUACCAAGGCGACGACGGGUAGCCGGCCUGAGAGGGCGACCGGCCACACUGGGACUGAGACACGGCCCAGACUCCUACGGGAGGGCAGCAGGUGGGGAAUCUUGCGCAAUGGGCGAAAGCCUGACGCAGCGACGCCGCGUGAGGGAUGACGGCCU
RNAcentral lists this ribosomal RNA (392 nucleotides) under uncultured bacterium. RNAcentral describes it as "bacterial SSU rRNA". It matches the Rfam family "Bacterial small subunit ribosomal RNA", at positions 28 to 417 of the family's 1533-position model. The record is from RNAcentral.